UACGUAGGGGGCAAGCGUUGUCCGGAUUUAUUGGGCGUAAAGAGCGUGUAGGCGGCCAGGUAGGUCCGCUGUGAAAACUCGAGGCUCAACCUCGAGAUGUCGGCGGAAACCAUCUGGCUAGAGUCCGGAAGAGGAGAGUGGAAUUCCUGGUGUAGCGGUGAAAUGCGCAGAUAUCAGGAAGAACACCCGUGGCGAAGGCGGCUCUCUGGGACGGUACUGACGCUGAAACGCGAAAGCGUGGGGAGCGAACAGG
This 253-nucleotide ribosomal RNA is filed under the name uncultured bacterium. Its description in RNAcentral is "partial 16S ribosomal RNA". It matches the Rfam family "Bacterial small subunit ribosomal RNA", at positions 524 to 776 of the family's 1533-position model. The record is from RNAcentral.